GAUGAACGCUAGCGGCAGGCCUAAUACAUGCAAGUCGAACGGUAAGGCCCUUUCGGGGGUACACGAGUGGCGGACGGGUGCGUAACGCGUAUGCAACAUGCCUUCCAGCGGGGGAUAUACCAGGGAAACUUGGCGCAAUACCCCAUAGAAUUACGGGACCGCAUGGUCUUGUGAUUAAAACUACCGGUGCUGGGAGAUUGGCAUGCGUGACAUUAGCUAGUUGGCGGGGUAACGGCCCACCAAGGCGACGAUGUCUAGCUGGUCUGAGAGGAUGAUCAGCCACACUGGGACUGAGACACGGCCCAGACUCCUACGGGAGGCAGCAGUAGGGAAUAUUGGACAAUGGGGGGAACCCGGUACGAUCCAGCCACUGCCGCCGUGAGGGAAGGAAGGUACCGUCU
This 401-nucleotide ribosomal RNA is filed under the name uncultured bacterium. Its description in RNAcentral is "bacterial SSU rRNA". It matches the Rfam family "Bacterial small subunit ribosomal RNA", at positions 28 to 423 of the family's 1533-position model. The record is from RNAcentral.